RNAcentral lists this ribosomal RNA (487 nucleotides) under uncultured Arthrobacter sp. RNAcentral's name for it is "partial 16S ribosomal RNA". The record is from RNAcentral. Lineage: Bacteria; Bacillati; Actinomycetota; Actinomycetes; Micrococcales; Micrococcaceae.
CACGUAGUUAGCCGGCGCUUCUUCUGCAGGUACCGUCACUUUCGCUUCUUCCCUACUGAAAGAGGUUUAUAACCCGAAGGCCGUCAUCCCUCACGCGGCGUCGCUGCAUCAGGCUUUCGCCCAUUGUGCAAUAUUCCCCACUGCUGCCUCCCGUAGGAGUCUGGGCCGUGUCUCAGUCCCAGUGUGGCCGGUCACCCUCUCAGGCCGGCUACCCGUCGUCGCCUUGGUGAGCCAUUACCUCACCAACAAGCUGAUAGGCCGCGAGUCCAUCCCUGACCAAAAUUCUUUCCACCAAAACCAUGCGGUCUACGGUGCAUAUCCAGUAUUAGACCCAGUUUCCCAGGCUUAUCCCAGAGUCAGGGGCAGGUUACUCACGUGUUACUCACCCGUUCGCCACUAAUCAUUCUGUGCAAGCACAAAAGUCAUCGUUCGACUUGCAUGUGUUAAGCACGCCGCCAGCGUUCAUCCUGAGCCAGGAUCAAACUCU